This 360-nucleotide ribosomal RNA is filed under the name uncultured eukaryote. RNAcentral's name for it is "bacterial SSU rRNA". It matches the Rfam family "Eukaryotic small subunit ribosomal RNA", at positions 592 to 951 of the family's 1831-position model. The record is from RNAcentral.
CAAUGGCGUAUAUUAAAGUUGUUGCAGUUAAAAAGCUCGUAGUUGGAUUUCUGGCAGGAGCGACCGGUCGGCCCAUUGUGGUGUGUACUAGUGUUGCAUCUGGCCAUAUUUGUGGAGAGCGUGUGUGGCAUUAAUUUGUCGUGCUCGGGACCCGCAUCGUUUACUGUGAGAAAAUUAGAGUGUUUAAAGCAGGCAUUUGCUAUGAAUACAUUAGCAUGGAAUAAUAAUCUAGGACUUCGGUUCUAUUUUGUUGGUUUCUUAGAUCUGAAGUAAUGAUUGAUAGGGAUAGUUGGGGGUGGCUAGUAUUAAGGGCCGAGAGGUGAAAUUCUUGGAUUCUCUUAAGACUAACUUAUGCGAAAG